UGGGCACUCUAAGGAGACUGCCGGUGACAAACCGGAGGAAGGUGGGGAUGACGUCAAGUCAUCAUGGCCCUUACGGCCUGGGCUACACACGUGCUACAAUGGUCGGUACAAAGGGUUGCCAAGCCGCGAGGUGGAGCUAAUCCCAUAAAACCGAUCGUAGUCCGGAUCGCAGUCUGCAACUCGACUGCGUGAAGUCGGAAUCGCUAGUAAUCGUGAAUCAGAAUGUCACGGUGAAUACGUUCCCGGGCCUU
RNAcentral lists this ribosomal RNA (251 nucleotides) under uncultured Pseudomonas sp. Its description in RNAcentral is "partial 16S ribosomal RNA". It matches the Rfam family "Bacterial small subunit ribosomal RNA", at positions 1132 to 1382 of the family's 1533-position model. RNAcentral also lists the same sequence under 1 other name. The record is from RNAcentral. Lineage: Bacteria; Pseudomonadati; Pseudomonadota; Gammaproteobacteria; Pseudomonadales; Pseudomonadaceae.